UACAGAGGGGGCAAGCGUUGUUCGGAAUUACUGGGCGUAAAGGGCGCGUAGGCGGCCUUCUAAGUCGAACGUGAAAUCCCCGGGCUCAACCCGGGAACUGCGUCCGAUACUGGAAGGCUUGAAUUCGGGAGAGGGAUGCAGAAUUCCAGGUGUAGCGGUGAAAUGCGUAGAUAUCUGGAGGAAUACCGGUGGCGAAGGCGGCAUCCUGGACCGAGAUUGACACUGAGGAGCGAAAGCCAGGGGAGCAAACGGG
RNAcentral lists this ribosomal RNA (253 nucleotides) under uncultured bacterium. RNAcentral's name for it is "partial 16S ribosomal RNA". It matches the Rfam family "Bacterial small subunit ribosomal RNA", at positions 524 to 776 of the family's 1533-position model. The record is from RNAcentral.